This 484-nucleotide ribosomal RNA is filed under the name uncultured bacterium. RNAcentral describes it as "partial 16S ribosomal RNA". It matches the Rfam family "Bacterial small subunit ribosomal RNA", at positions 30 to 507 of the family's 1533-position model. The record is from RNAcentral.
AUUGAACGCUGGCGGCAGGCCUAACACAUGCAAGUCGAGCGGAUGAAGGGAGCUUGCUCCUGGAUUCAGCGGCGGACGGGUGAGUAAUGCCUAGGAAUCUGCCUGGUAGUGGGGGAUAACGUCCGGAAACGGGCGCUAAUACCGCAUACGUCCUGAGGGAGAAAGUGGGGGAUCUUCGGACCUCACGCUAUCAGAUGAGCCUAGGUCGGAUUAGCUAGUUGGUGGGGUAAAGGCCUACCAAGGCGACGAUCCGUAACUGGUCUGAGAGGAUGAUCAGUCACCAUGGAACUGAGACACGGUCCAGAGUACUACGGGAGGCAGCAGUGGGGAAUAUUGGACAAUGGGCGAAAGCCUGAUCCAGCCAUGCCGCGUGUGUGAAGAAGGUCUUCGGAUUGUAAAGCACUUUAAGUUGGGAGGAAGGGCAGUAAGUUAAUACCUUGCUGUUUUGACGUUACCAACAGAAUAAGCACCGGCUAACUUCGUG